AUUGAACGCUGGCGGCAGGCCUAACACAUGCAAGUCGAGCGAGCGGCGGACGGGUGAGUAAUGUCUGGGAAACUGCCUGAUGGAGGGGGAUAACUACUGGAAACGGUAGCUAAUACCGCAUACCAUCAGAUUUGCCCAGAUGGGAUUAGUUAGUAGGUGGGGUAACGGCUCACCUGGGCGACGAUCCCUAGCUGGUCUGAGAGGAUGACCAGCAAACAUGGAACUGAGAAACGGGCCAGACUCUGACGGGAGGCAGCGGUGGGGAAUAUUGGACAAUGGGCGAAAGCCUGACGCAGCAAUGCCGCGUGUGGGAAGAAGGCCUUCGGGUUGUAAAGCACUUUCAGCGGGGAGGCGUUACCCGAAGAAGAAGCACCGGCUAACUCCGUGCCAGCCGCCGCGGUAAUUC
RNAcentral lists this ribosomal RNA (406 nucleotides) under uncultured bacterium. RNAcentral's name for it is "partial 16S ribosomal RNA". It matches the Rfam family "Bacterial small subunit ribosomal RNA", at positions 29 to 526 of the family's 1533-position model. The record is from RNAcentral.